GAUGAAGAACGCAGCGAAAUGCGAUACGUAAUGUGAAUUGCAAAUUCAGUGAAUCAUCGAGUCUUUGAACGCACAUUGCGCCCCCUGGUAUUCCGGGGGGCAUGCCUGUCCGAGCGUCAUUGCUGCCCUCAAGCACGGCUUGUGUUUUGGGCCCCGUCCUCCGAUCCCGGGGGACGGGCCCGAAAGGCAGCGGCGGCACCGCGUCCGGUCCUCGAGCGUAUGGGGCUUUGUCACCCGCUCUGUAGGCCCGGCCGGCGCUUGCCGAUCAACCCAAAUUUUUUAUCCAGGUUGACCUCGGAUCAGGUAGGGAUACCCGCUGAACUUAAGCAUAUCAAUAAGCGGAGGA
Molecule: unclassified non-coding RNA, 346 nt
Filed under: soil metagenome
Description: partial contains 5.8S ribosomal RNA, internal transcribed spacer 2, and large subunit ribosomal RNA
Rfam family: 5.8S ribosomal RNA (bases 1-119)
Source: RNAcentral